Mesocricetus auratus (golden hamster) is the source of this 194-nucleotide long non-coding RNA. RefSeq lists it as uncharacterized. Lineage: Eukaryota; Metazoa; Chordata; Mammalia; Rodentia; Cricetidae. The record is from RefSeq and is a predicted model, not a curated record. The transcript has 2 exons.
ACACAGCGGAAACAAACAAAAAGCUGUGCACAGGUGCAAGCGUGCGCAUGCGUGCGCGUGUGCGCUGAGUGAGAGGAUCCACAGAGAAAACUGGUGGCAUCGUACGGAAUUCAAGCGAUCCCAGGGUCGUUCCCAGCUAUUAUUACCAUUCCUGCUGGUCUCCCGUGCUUCCCGUACAUGUGAUAUGAAGUCUA